AUUGAACGCUGGCGGCAGGCCUAACACAUGCAAGUCGAGCGAGCGGCGGACGGGUAAGUAAUGUCUGGGAAACUGCCUGAUGGAGGGGGAUAACUACUGGAACCGGUAGCUAAUACCGCAUACCAUCAGAUGUGCCCCGAUGGGAUUAGCUAGGAGGUGGGGUAACGGCUCACCUAGGCGACGAGCCCUAGAUGGUCUGAGAGGAUGACCAGCCAGACUGGAACUGAGACACGGUCCAGACUCCUACGGGAGGCAGCAGUGGGGAAUAUUGCACAAUGGGCGCAAGCCUGAUGCAGCCAUGCCGCGUGUGUGAAGAAGGCCUUCGGGUUGUAAAGCACUUUCAGCGGGGAGGCGUUACCCGAAGAAGAAGCACCGGCUAACUCCGUGCCAGCAGCCGCGGUAAUAC
RNAcentral lists this ribosomal RNA (406 nucleotides) under uncultured bacterium. RNAcentral's name for it is "partial 16S ribosomal RNA". It matches the Rfam family "Bacterial small subunit ribosomal RNA", at positions 29 to 526 of the family's 1533-position model. The record is from RNAcentral.